This 332-nucleotide RNase P RNA is filed under the name human gut metagenome. RNAcentral describes it as "Bacterial RNase P class A". It matches the Rfam family "Bacterial RNase P class A". From Rfam's summary of the family: Ribonuclease P (RNase P) is a ubiquitous endoribonuclease, found in archaea, bacteria and eukarya as well as chloroplasts and mitochondria. Its best characterised activity is the generation of mature 5'-ends of tRNAs by cleaving the 5'-leader elements of precursor-tRNAs. Cellular RNase Ps are ribonucleoproteins. The record is from RNAcentral.
AAAGCCAAGCAGCCGCGGGCACAAGGCGAAAGCCUGUGCGUGAGGAAAGUCCGGGCUCCACAGGAUAACGGGUAACGCCCGCCGGGGGUGACCCCAGGACAAGUGCAACAGAGAUAUACCGCCUGCCUUUCGGCAGGUAAGGGUGGAAAGGCGAGGUAAGAGCUCACCCAUCGUCCGGAGACGGAACGGUGCUGUAAACUCUAUUCGGAGCAACGCCGUGGAGGGACAUACGACCGGCCCGGUCGUCCCGAGGAGGCGGCUGGAACGCAUCGGCAACGGUGCGUCUAGAUAGAUGGCUGCGCAGACAGAACCCGGCUUACAGGCUUUCUCGC